Molecule: ribosomal RNA, 497 nt
Filed under: uncultured bacterium
Lineage: Bacteria
Description: partial 16S ribosomal RNA
Rfam family: Bacterial small subunit ribosomal RNA
Source: RNAcentral
GAUGAACGCUGGCGGCGUGCCUAAUACAUGCAAGUCGAGCGAACAGACGAGGCGCUUGCUCCUUUGACGUUAGCGGCGGACGGGUGAGUAACACGUGGAUAACCUACCUAUAAGACUGGGAUAACUUCGGGAAACCGGAGCUAAUACCGGAUAACAUGUUGAACCGCAUGGUUCAACAGUGAAAGACGGUCUUGCCGUCCCUUAUAGCUGGAUCCGGGCCGCAUUAGCUAGUUGGUAAGGUAACGGCUUACCAAGGCAACGAUGCCUAGACGACCUGAGAGGGGGAGCGGCGCCACUGGAACUGAGCCACGGUGCAGGCUCCGAAGGGAGGGAGUCGUAGGCAAAGUUCCGCAUGGGGCGAAGGCCGGACGGCGGAGGGCCGAGCGCGUGAAGAAGGUCCUCGGAUCGCAAAACCGCGUUAUUAGGGGAGACCAAAUGUGUAGGUAGCAAUGCCCGUCUUGACGGUACCUAAUCAAAAAGCCACGGCGAAUUACGGG